RNAcentral lists this ribosomal RNA (462 nucleotides) under uncultured bacterium. Its description in RNAcentral is "partial 16S ribosomal RNA". It matches the Rfam family "Bacterial small subunit ribosomal RNA", at positions 28 to 507 of the family's 1533-position model. The record is from RNAcentral.
GACGAACGCUGGCGGCGUGCUUAACACAUGCAAGUCGAGCGGAAAGGCCCUUCGGGGUACUCGAGCGGCGAACGGGUGAGUAACACGUGAGUAACCUGCCCCAGACUUUGGGAUAACCCUCGGAAACGGGGGCUAAUACCGGAUACGACACAGCUUCGCAUGGGGUCUGUGUGGAAAGUUUUUCGGUUUGGGAUGGGCUCGCGGCCUAUCGGCUUGUUGGUGGGGUGAUGGCCUACCAAGGCGACGACGGGUAGCCGGCCUGAGAGGGCGACCGGCCACACUGGGACUGAGACACGGCCCAGACUCCUACGGGAGGCAGCAGUGGGGAAUAUUGCACAAUGGGCGGAAGCCUGAUGCAGCGACGCCGCGUGAGGGAUGACGGCCCUCGGGUUGUAAACCUCUUUCAGCAGGGACGAAGCGUAAGUGACGGUACCUGCAGAAGAAGCGCCGGCCAACUACGUG